CUUAANACAUGCAAGUCGAGGGGUAUGCCGAUUUAUCGGCAGAGACCGGCGCACGGGUGCGUAACGCGUAUGCAAUCUACUUUCACAGAGGGAUAGCCCAGAGAAAUUUGGAUUAAUACCUCAUAGUAUAGCGGUUUCGCAUGAAACCACUAUUAAAGUUCCAACGGUGAAAGAUGAGCAUGCGUCCUAUUAGCUAGAUGGUAAGGUAACGGCUUACCAUGGCUACGAUAGGUAGGGGUCCUGAGAGGGAGAUCCCCCACACUGGUACUGAGACACGGACCAGACUCCUACGGGAGGCAGCAGUGAGGAAUAUUGGACAAUGGGCGCAAGCCUGAUCCAGCCAUGCCGCGUGCAGGAAGACGCAUCUAUGGUGUGUAAACUGCUUUUGUACGGGAAGAAACACUCCUACGUGUAGGAGCUUGACGGUACCGUAAGAAUAAGGAUCGGCUAACUCCGUG
Molecule: ribosomal RNA, 458 nt
Filed under: uncultured bacterium
Lineage: Bacteria
Description: bacterial SSU rRNA
Rfam family: Bacterial small subunit ribosomal RNA
Source: RNAcentral